GACGAAGGGGGCUAGCGUUGUUCGGAAUUACUGGGCGUAAAGCGCGUGUAGGCGGUUGUCCAAGUUGGAUGUGAAAGCCUUGAGCUUAACUCAAGAAAUGCAUUCAGGACUGGAUGACUAGAGGACCGGAGAGGAUAGUGGAAUUCCCGGUGUAGUGGUGAAAUACGUAGAGAUUGGGAAGAACACCAGUGGCGAAGGCGGCUAUCUGGACGGUUUCUGACGCUAAGACGCGAAAGCGUGGGGAGCAAACAGG
RNAcentral lists this ribosomal RNA (253 nucleotides) under uncultured bacterium. RNAcentral describes it as "partial 16S ribosomal RNA". It matches the Rfam family "Bacterial small subunit ribosomal RNA", at positions 524 to 776 of the family's 1533-position model. The record is from RNAcentral.